UAACAGUUAGAAAUAGCUGCUAAUACCGCAUAAGCGCACAGUUCCGCAUGGAACAGUGUGAAAAACUCCGGUGGUGUGAGAUGGACCCGCGUCUGAUUAGCCAGUUGGCGGGUAACGGCCCACCAAAGCGACGAUCAGUAGCCGGCCUGAGAGGGUGAACGGCCACAUUGGGACUGAGACACGGCCCAAACUCCUACGGGGAGGCAGCAUG
RNAcentral lists this ribosomal RNA (211 nucleotides) under uncultured bacterium. Its description in RNAcentral is "partial 16S ribosomal RNA". It matches the Rfam family "Bacterial small subunit ribosomal RNA", at positions 144 to 353 of the family's 1533-position model. The record is from RNAcentral.